GUCGAGCGGUAGAGAGAGCUUGCUUCUCUUGAGAGCGGCGGACGGGUGAGUAAUGCCUAGGAAUCUGCCUGGUAGUGGGGGAUAACGUUCGGAAACGGACGCUAAUACCGCAUACGUCCUACGGGAGAAAGCAGGGGACCUUCGGGCCUUGCGCUAUCAGAUGAGCCUAGGUCGGAUUAGCUAGUUGGUGAGGUAAUGGCUCACCAAGGCGACGAUCCGUAACUGGUCUGAGAGGAUGAUCAGUCACACUGGAACUGAGACACGGUCCAGACUCCUACGGGAGGCAGCAGUGGGGAAUAUUGGACAAUGGGCGAAAGCCUGAUCCAGCCAUGCCGCGUGUGUGAAGAAGGUCUUCGGAUUGUAAAGCACUUUAAGUUGGGAGGAAGAGCAGUUACCUAAUACGUGAUUGUUUUGACGUUACCGACAGAAUAAGCACCGGCUAACUCUGUGCCAGCAGCCGCGGUAAUACAGAGGGUGCAAGCGUUAAUCGGAAUUACUGGGCGUAAAGCGCGCGUACGUGGUUUGUUAAGUUGGAUGUAGAAUCCUCGGGCUCAACCUGGGAACUGCAUUCAAAACUGACUGACUAGAG
RNAcentral lists this ribosomal RNA (589 nucleotides) under bacterium 01-L049640-122-012-A01. RNAcentral describes it as "bacterial SSU rRNA". It matches the Rfam family "Bacterial small subunit ribosomal RNA", at positions 61 to 646 of the family's 1533-position model. The record is from RNAcentral.